AGAGGGUUAGCUUAGUUUGGUAGAGCGUUGGUUUCCAAAACCAAAGGUCAUAGGUUCAAAUCCUAUACUCUCUG
Molecule: transfer RNA, 74 nt
Filed under: Volvocales sp. NrCl902
Lineage: Eukaryota; Viridiplantae; Chlorophyta; Chlorophyceae; Chlamydomonadales
Description: tRNA-Trp
Rfam family: tRNA
About the family: Transfer RNA (tRNA) molecules are approximately 80 nucleotides in length. Their secondary structure includes four short double-helical elements and three loops (D, anti-codon, and T loops).
Source: RNAcentral